UACGGGGGGUGCGAGCGUUGUCCGGAAUCACUGGGCGUAAAGGGCGCGUAGGUGGCCUGAUAAGGGUGUGGUGAAAGUCCGGGGCUCAACCCCGGAUCGGCCGUGCCGACUGUUAGGCUAGAGUACUGUAGGGGCAGGCGGAAUUCCGGGUGUAGCGGUGGAAUGCGUAGAGAUCCGGAGGAAGACCGGUGGCGAAGGCGGCCUGCUGGGCAGUUACUGACACUGAGGCGCGACAGCGUGGGGAGCAACAGGG
RNAcentral lists this ribosomal RNA (253 nucleotides) under uncultured bacterium. Its description in RNAcentral is "partial 16S ribosomal RNA". It matches the Rfam family "Bacterial small subunit ribosomal RNA", at positions 524 to 776 of the family's 1533-position model. The record is from RNAcentral.